GAUGAACGCUGGCGGCGUGCCUAAUACAUGCAAGUCGAGCGAACAGACGAGGAGCUUGCUCCUCUGACGUUAGCGGCGGACGGGUGAGUAACACGUGGAUAACCUACCUAUAAGACUGGGAUAACUUCGGGAAACCGGAGCUAAUACCGGAUAAUAUCUUGAACCGCAUGGUUCAAUAGUGAAAGACGGUUUUGCUGUCACUUCUAGCUGGAUCCGCGCCGCAUUAGCUAGUUGGUAAGGUAACGGCUUACCAAGGCAACGAUGCGUAGCCGACCUGAGAGGGUGAUCGGCCACACUGGAACUGAGACACGGUCCAGACUCCUACGGGAGGCAGCAGUAGGGAAUCUUCCGCAAUGGGCGAAAGCCUGACGGAGCAACGCCGCGUGAGUGAUGAAGGUCUUCGGAUCGUAAAACUCUGUUAUUAGGGAAGAACAAAUGUGUAAGUAACUAUGCACGUCUUGACGGUACCUAAUCAGAAAGCCACGGCUAACUACGUG
This 497-nucleotide ribosomal RNA is filed under the name uncultured bacterium. Its description in RNAcentral is "partial 16S ribosomal RNA". It matches the Rfam family "Bacterial small subunit ribosomal RNA", at positions 28 to 507 of the family's 1533-position model. The record is from RNAcentral.